RNAcentral lists this unclassified non-coding RNA (344 nucleotides) under soil metagenome. Its description in RNAcentral is "partial contains 5.8S ribosomal RNA, internal transcribed spacer 2, and large subunit ribosomal RNA". The stretch from base 1 to 120 matches the Rfam family "5.8S ribosomal RNA", at positions 35 to 154 of the family's 154-position model. The record is from RNAcentral.
GAUGAAGAACGUAGUGAAAUGCGAUACGUAAUGUGAAUUGCAGAAUUCAGUGAAUCAUCGAGUCUUUGAACGCACAUUGCGCCCCCUGGUAUUCCGGGGGGCAUGCCUGUCCGAGCGUCAUUGCUGCCCUCAAGCACGGCUUGUGUGUUGGGCCUCCGUCCUCCUCCCGGGGGACGGGCCCGAAAGGCAGCGGCGGCACCGCGUCCGGUCCUCGAGCGUAUGGGGCUUCGUCACCCGCUCUUGUAGGCCCGGCCGGCGCUUGCCGACACAUCAAUCUUUUUUCCAGGUUGACCUCGGAUCAGGUAGGGAUACCCGCUGAACUUAAGCAUAUCAAAAGCGGAGGA